Non-coding RNA from Myodes glareolus (Bank vole), 731 nucleotides. The record is from RefSeq and is a predicted model, not a curated record. NCBI's taxonomy places the organism in Eukaryota, Metazoa, Chordata, Mammalia, Rodentia, Cricetidae.
GUCUGUCUAGCGUUUGGCUGAUCUGAAAUGAUGGGCAGAAUCGUUAAGCCAAUCACCGCAAGGUUACGUUUGUUGUCAGGGUGAAGCACGGCCCGCCUUUUCCGGUGGGUGGGACCGGAAGUGACGACAGAGGGAUGAUACGCUCUGGGAAUGUUGAUAUUUUCCAGUGAGUGUGUUCUGAGUUCCAGAUGGGAUCCUUCAGGAAGCUAGUUGUACGGUUCGCGAGGCUGACCAUUUCGUUUAUAGUACCGAUGCCUGUGGGUUAGAACCUUGGAGGAAAUAAAGAACAGAACGGAACCGACGAGGAAAGCUGGGAGCACGGCUACAAACUUUGAAAUUUGAGACGGAGGACACGAGAGAGCGAGCGCUCAUCCCUGAUUGGCUCGUGCGUGUUGUCAAGGCUUUACGCAGCUUCUUCAAUUGGUUGAUGUGUGCAGUUGUGACCGCGGCGACGAUUUUGCCCACGUACUUCCGAAAAAGAGGCCGGGUUGUGCCCCGCUGCGCGUGCGCACAGCCCGGGAGGCCCCACCCGGUAGUUCAAGAACCUGUGUAGGGGCGGGGCGAAGAGGUGCUUGUUUUGGUUGUGUUUCCUUUGAAGCUGAAUCCCGGAACAAGGCCUCGCCGUUCCCAUCGUGCUUCGCGCACAACAGUAGCCCCCUCAUCCGGGUUCUCUCCCGGCGUUCUCCGCGUCUGGUUUGCUGUGGGGUACUUGGCGGUGCCGCCAUGACUAU